This is a long non-coding RNA of Quercus lobata, 720 nucleotides long. RefSeq lists it as uncharacterized. The transcript is spliced from 2 exons. The record is from RefSeq and is a predicted model, not a curated record. NCBI's taxonomy places the organism in Eukaryota, Viridiplantae, Streptophyta, Magnoliopsida, Fagales, Fagaceae.
UAGUUAUGCUUUUUUUUUUGGGUCUAGUUUGGGCCUUUGUUUGUGGUGUAAUAAAACAGCCUUAGAAAGCCUAAAAAACUGGCGGUAAGUUUGUUGUGUUGGUCUUGACUGUAUAGACAUGUCAAGCAGGGGAUGCGUUGAGACUUAAGAGAGAGGGAGAGAGAGAGAGAGAGAGAGAGAGAGAAGGCAAGGACAGUGAGUCGCUGAGGGCAAAGGAUGAUUGAAAUGAUAGGAGCAACAAGCAGGUGGAUUUCUACCUGCUCAGUAUUUGUUUAUGGGUUUUGAGAUUAGAGUGUGAAAGAGGGAAGCAGAUGAUAAAAGGGGAUUCUCUGUGGUUCUUGGUACUUUGGCUCAACACAACAGGUGUUUGUUGUUAACCAAAAAGAACUGUGAUGCUUCAGAAGUUUUCAAGUGCAUGCAUGACGAUAUUGGUAAAAUGCCAUUCCUUUGUAUGCUACUAGCUGGAAUUCCCUGCCGUCAUUUCUUUGGUUGUUUUGUUGAUAGUUAUUAUUUGCCUUUUUUAAAGACUACUUGCUUUUAUUUUAAUUAUGUUAUUCAGCCAGAAAGAAAGUUCCUUUUUUUCCUUAAUUACUCUCUCUCAAGUCUUCUGUCUUACCUAAUUAGCUUCCAUUCUUCAACAACAGAGGCUUUGUAGUUUGUACUACCAUUACACUAACCUUCAACUUGCAUAAGAUCAAUGCACUUCGCUGUUUCUUUUUA